AUUGGACGCUGGCGGCAUGCUUUACACAUGCAAGUCGAACGGCAGCGCGGGCUUCGGCCUGGCGGCGAGUGGCGAACGGGUGAGUAAUACAUCGGAACGUGCCCAGUAGUGGGGGAUAGCUCGGCGAAAGCCGGAUUAAUACCGCAUACGACCUGAGGGUGAAAGCGGGGGAUCUUCGGACCUCGCGCUAUUGGCGCGGCCGAUGGCAGAUUAGCUAGUUGGUGGGGUAAAGGCCUACCAAGGCGACGAUCUGUAGCUGGUCUGAGAGGACGACCAGCCACACUGGGACUGAGACACGGCCCAGACUCCUACGGGAGGCAGCAGUGGGGAAUUUUGGACAAUGGGCGAAAGCCUGAUCCAGCAAUGCCGCGUGUGUGAUGAAGGCCUUCGGGUUGUAAAGCACUUUUGGCGGGAACGAAAAGGACUGUGCCAAUACCACGGUUCGAUGACGGUACCCGAAGAAUAAGCACCGGCUAACUACGUG
RNAcentral lists this ribosomal RNA (484 nucleotides) under uncultured bacterium. RNAcentral describes it as "partial 16S ribosomal RNA". It matches the Rfam family "Bacterial small subunit ribosomal RNA", at positions 29 to 507 of the family's 1533-position model. The record is from RNAcentral.